CUUGUGUUUAUUUCCUACACAUGGGUAGGUUUGGUCUUGUUAUUGGACAUUUAUUUCAUAUAAAUGGUUAAUUUUGAUUAAUGGUUGUUUCAUGGCUUGGAAACAAGAAACUUUGAAUUGUUUCUUUCCAUGUGAAACUAUCUUUCCAUGGACUAAGAAAAGUUGUUUGUCGAGAGCUCAAGGGCUUACGAAUAUUAUAAAGUGAAGCAAUUUGUAUCGAAGAGUAAUCCUCUGCUGUGAAGUGUUCAUCCCACUGAAGCUUCCAUUGAGCACCAUGGACUAAGGAAAGAUUUUUUGUCGAAAACUAUUUGGAUUAUUUGAUGGUUAAAUAUCUAGGAAACUGCAGAAAAUAGUGUAUCAAAGAGUAAUCCUUCAUGAAGUAGCCAUCAUCGAAAGAUUAAUUCUUUGUCUAACAGUAACCAGACAUUUCUUGGCAAUUACAGAAGCAGUGAUGAUUGCCUUCACAAACGUAAUUGCCACAUCAAUAAGCACCAAAAAAAAUGAAAUGCAUAUUGCGUGAGUGUCUGAUCAGCGGUUUUACGAUUUCACCGGAAACAAUAAUUUGCUGGACGUCUUCGCCAAUUUUGAUCCGACAUUUACUUUCGUCGGAGUUAUCAAUGGAGCUCCAUUACAUCUCGCUCUUUACGUUUCGCUCGUCUCGUAACUGUCGGGUCGCCGAUAACGAAACCAACAAUUUGGUGACAUCAAAUUAACAUGUUUACAGAAGCAAGACAGUCUCAUUUUCUCAUAUGUUGAAUAAGUUUAUUGUAAGUGUAUCUCAACUACUUUUCAACGAAUUUAUUCCGCCAGCCCUCAUACAUACUGAGAAGUGGUCGAUGCUUUCGUAUU
RNAcentral lists this long non-coding RNA (849 nucleotides) under Daphnia pulicaria. RNAcentral's name for it is "uncharacterized LOC124352598, transcript variant X1". The record is from RNAcentral. Lineage: Eukaryota; Metazoa; Arthropoda; Branchiopoda; Diplostraca; Daphniidae.